This 229-nucleotide ribosomal RNA is filed under the name uncultured bacterium. RNAcentral describes it as "partial 16S ribosomal RNA". It matches the Rfam family "Bacterial small subunit ribosomal RNA", at positions 568 to 796 of the family's 1533-position model. The record is from RNAcentral.
CGCGUAGGCGGUUUGUUAAGUCGGAUGUGAAAGCCCUGGGCUCAACCUGGGAACUGCAUUCGAUACUGAUCGACUAGAGUACGAGAGAGGGAGGUAGAAUUCCACGUGUAGCGGUGAAAUGCGUAGAUAUGUGGAGGAAUACCGGUGGCGAAGGCGGCCUCCUGGCUCGAUACUGACGCUGAGGUGCGAAAGCGUGGGUAGCAAACAGGAUUAGAUACCCUGGUAGUCC